UACAGGGGGGGCAAGCGUUGUCCGGAAUUAUUGGGCGUAAAGAGCGUGUAGGCGGUCCGGUAAGUCAGCUGUGAAAGUCAAGGGCUCAACCCUUGAAAGCCGGUUGAUACUGUCGGGCUAGAGUCCGGAAGAGGCGAGUGGAAUUCCCGGUGUAGCGGUGAAGUGCGCAGAUAUCGGGAGGAACACCAAUGGCGAAGGCAGCUCGCUGGGACGGUACUGACGCUGAGACGCGAAAGCGUGGGGAGCAAACAGG
Molecule: ribosomal RNA, 253 nt
Filed under: uncultured bacterium
Lineage: Bacteria
Description: partial 16S ribosomal RNA
Rfam family: Bacterial small subunit ribosomal RNA
Source: RNAcentral